RNAcentral lists this unclassified non-coding RNA (307 nucleotides) under uncultured Pyrenochaeta. RNAcentral's name for it is "sequence contains ITS1". The stretch from base 1 to 105 matches the Rfam family "5.8S ribosomal RNA", at positions 50 to 154 of the family's 154-position model. The record is from RNAcentral. Lineage: Eukaryota; Fungi; Ascomycota; Dothideomycetes; Pleosporales; Pleosporaceae.
GAAAUGCGAAAAGUAGUGUGAAUUGCAGAAUUCAGUGAAUCAUCGAAUCUUUGAACGCACAUUGCGCCCCUUGGUAUUCCAUGGGGCAUGCCUGUUCGAGCGUCAUUUGUACCUUCAAGCACUGCUUGGUGUUGGGUGUCUUGUCCCCCGCGUUUAGCGUUGGACUCACCUUAAAGUUAUUGGCAGCCGGCAUACUAGCCUUGGAGCGCAGCACAAUUUGCGCCCCUUGACCUGCGUGUUGGCGUCCAUGAAGCCUACAAUUUUUACUCUUGACCUCGGAUCAGGUAGGGAUACCCGCUGAACUUAA